This 2878-nucleotide ribosomal RNA is filed under the name Paraburkholderia fungorum. Its description in RNAcentral is "bacterial LSU rRNA". It matches the Rfam family "Bacterial large subunit ribosomal RNA". Lineage: Bacteria; Pseudomonadati; Pseudomonadota; Betaproteobacteria; Burkholderiales; Burkholderiaceae. The record is from RNAcentral.
UCAAGCGAACAAGUGCAUGUGGUGGAUGCCUUGGCGAUCACAGGCGAUGAAGGACGCGGUAGCCUGCGAAAAGCGGAGGGGAGCUGGCAAACGAGCUUUGAUCCUCCGAUAUCCGAAUGGGGAAACCCGGCCCGUAUGGGUCAUCCGUAACUGAAUACAUAGGUUACGUGAAGCGAACGCGGUGAACUGAAACAUCUAAGUAACCGCAGGAAAAGAAAUCAACCGAGAUUCCCAGAGUAGUGGCGAGCGAAAUGGGACCAGCCUGUACUCUUUAUCUUCAUUGUUAGUCGAAGGCUCUGGAAAGUGCCGCCAUAGCAGGUGAUAGCCCUGUAGACGAAAACAGCGGGGAAGAACUAGGUGUACGGAAAGUAGGGCGGGACACGUGAAAUCCUGUCUGAAGAUGGGGGGACCAUCCUCCAAGGCUAAAUACUCGUGAUCGACCGAUAGUGAACCAGUACCGUGAGGGAAAGGCGAAAAGAACCCCGGGAGGGGAGUGAAACAGAUCCUGAAACCGCAUGCAUACAAACAGUCGGAGCCUCGCAAGGGGUGACGGCGUACCUUUUGUAUAAUGGGUCAGCGACUUACAUUCAGUGGCAAGCUUAACCGAUUAGGGCAGGCGUAGCGAAAGCGAGUCCGAACAGGGCGAUUCAGUCGCUGGGUGUAGACCCGAAACCAGGUGAUCUAUCCAUGGCCAGGAUGAAGGUGCGGUAACACGUACUGGAGGUCCGAACCCACUAACGUUGAAAAGUUAGGGGAUGAGCUGUGGAUAGGGGUGAAAGGCUAAACAAACCUGGAAAUAGCUGGUUCUCUCCGAAAACUAUUUAGGUAGUGCCUCGUGUAUCACCUUCGGGGGUAGAGCACUGUCAUGGUUGUGGGGUCCAUUGCGGAUUACUACGCCAUAGCAAACUCCGAAUACCGAAGAGUGCAAUCACGGGAGACAGACAUCGGGUGCUAACGUCCGGUGUCAAGAGGGAAACAACCCAGACCGCCAGCUAAGGUCCCCAAAUAUUGCUAAGUGGGAAACGAAGUGGGAAGGCUAAAACAGUCAGGAGGUUGGCUUAGAAGCAGCCAUCCUUUAAAGAAAGCGUAAUAGCUCACUGAUCGAGUCGUCCUGCGCGGAAGAUGUAACGGGGCUAAGCAAUAUACCGAAGCUGCGGAUGCACAUUUAUGUGCAUGGUAGGAGAGCGUUCCGUAAGCCUGCGAAGGUGCAUUGAAAAGUGUGCUGGAGGUAUCGGAAGUGCGAAUGCUGACAUGAGUAGCGAUAAAGGGGGUGAAAGGCCCCCUCGCCGUAAGCCCAAGGUUUCCUACGCAACGUUCAUCGGCGUAGGGUGAGUCGGCCCCUAAGGCGAGGCAGAAAUGCGUAGCUGAUGGGAAGCAGGUUAAUAUUCCUGCACCAUUGUUAAAUGCGAUGGGGGGACGGAUCGCGGAAGGUUGUCCGGGUGUUGGAAGUCCCGGUCCUUGCAUUGGAGAAGGCGCUCAGGCAAAUCCGGGCGCGGAAUUCAAGGGUGCGAGGCCAUUCACUUAGGUGAAGAAGCAAUCGGAAGUGGUUCCAAGAAAAGCCUCUAAGCUUCAGUUUAACAGGACCGUACCGCAAACCGACACAGGUGGGCGAGAUGAGUAUUCUAAGGCGCUUGAGAGAACUCGGGAGAAGGAACUCGGCAAAUUGGUACCGUAACUUCGGGAUAAGGUACGCCCCUGUAGCUUGAUGCCCCUGCGGGCAGAGGGUGAAGGGGUUGCAAUAAACUGGUGGCUGCGACUGUUUAAUAAAAACACAGCACUCUGCAAACACGAAAGUGGACGUAUAGGGUGUGACGCCUGCCCGGUGCCGGAAGAUUAAAUGAUGGGGUGCAAGCUCUUGAUUGAAGUCCCGGUAAACGGCGGCCGUAACUAUAACGGUCCUAAGGUAGCGAAAUUCCUUGUCGGGUAAGUUCCGACCUGCACGAAUGGCGUAACGAUGGCCACACUGUCUCCUCCCGAGACUCAGCGAAGUUGAAGUGUUUGUGAUGAUGCAAUCUCCCCGCGGCUAGACGGAAAGACCCCAUGAACCUUUACUGUAGCUUUGCAUUGGACUUUGAACCGAUCUGUGUAGGAUAGGUGGGAGGCUAUGAAGCGUGGACGCCAGUCUGCGUGGAGCCGUCCUUGAAAUACCACCCUGGUUUGUUUGAGGUUCUAACCUUGGUCCGUAAUCCGGAUCGGGGACAGUGCAUGGUAGGCAGUUUGACUGGGGCGGUCUCCUCCCAAAGUGUAACGGAGGAGUACGAAGGUACGCUAGGUACGGUCGGAAAUCGUGCUGAUAGUGCAAUGGCAUAAGCGUGCUUAACUGCGAGACCGACAAGUCGAGCAGGUGCGAAAGCAGGUCAUAGUGAUCCGGUGGUUCUGUAUGGAAGGGCCAUCGCUCAACGGAUAAAAGGUACUCUGGGGAUAACAGGCUGAUACCGCCCAAGAGUUCAUAUCGACGGCGGUGUUUGGCACCUCGAUGUCGGCUCAUCUCAUCCUGGGGCUGUAGCCGGUCCCAAGGGUAUGGCUGUUCGCCAUUUAAAGAGGUACGUGAGCUGGGUUUAAAACGUCGUGAGACAGUUUGGUCCCUAUCUGCCGUGGGCGCUGGAUAUUUGAAGGGGGCUGCUCCUAGUACGAGAGGACCGGAGUGGACGAACCUCUGGUGUACCGGUUGUCACGCCAGUGGCAUCGCCGGGUAGCUAUGUUCGGAAGAGAUAACCGCUGAAAGCAUCUAAGCGGGAAACUCGCCUUAAGAUGAGAUAUCCCCGGGGCUUCGAGCCCCUUGAAGGGUCGUUCAAGACCAGGACGUUGAUAGGUCAGGUGUGGAAGCGCAGUAAUGCGUUAAGCUAACUGAUACUAAUUGCCCGUAAGGCUUGAUCCU